RNAcentral lists this ribosomal RNA (468 nucleotides) under uncultured bacterium. Its description in RNAcentral is "partial 16S ribosomal RNA". It matches the Rfam family "Bacterial small subunit ribosomal RNA", at positions 28 to 507 of the family's 1533-position model. The record is from RNAcentral.
GACGAACGCUGGCGGCGUGCUUAACACAUGCAAGUCGAACGGAAAGGCCCUGCUUUUGUGGGGUGCUCGAGUGGCGAACGGGUGAGUAACACGUGAGUAACCUGCCCUUGACUUUGGGAUAACUUCAGGAAACUGGGGCUAAUACCGGAUAGGAGCUCCUGCUGAAUGGUGGGGGUUGGAAAGUUUCGGCGGUUGGGGAUGGACUCGCGGCUUAUCAGCUUGUUGGUGGGGUAGUGGCUUACCAAGGCUUUGACGGGUAGCCGGCCUGAGAGGGUGACCGGCCACAUUGGGACUGAGAUACGGCCCAGACUCCUACGGGAGGCAGCAGUGGGGAAUAUUGCAUAAUGGGCGGAAGCCUGAUGCAGCAACGCCGCGUGCGGGAUGACGGCCUUCGGGUUGUAAACCGCUUUCGCCUGUGACGAAGCGUGAGUGACGGUAAUGGGUAAAGAAGCACCGGCUAACUACGUG